RNAcentral lists this ribosomal RNA (484 nucleotides) under uncultured bacterium. RNAcentral describes it as "partial 16S ribosomal RNA". It matches the Rfam family "Bacterial small subunit ribosomal RNA", at positions 30 to 507 of the family's 1533-position model. The record is from RNAcentral.
AUUGAACGCUGGCGGCAGGCCUAACACAUGCCAGUCGAGCGGAUGCAGGGAGCUUGCUCCUGGAUUCAGCGGCGGACGGGUGAGUAAUGCCUAGGAAUCUGCCUGGUAGUGGGGGAUAACGUGCGGAAACGGGCGCUAAUACCGCAUACGUCCUGAGGGAGUAAGGGGGGGAUCUUCGGACCUCACGCUAUCAGAUGAGCCUAGGUCGGAUUAGCUAGUUGGUGGGGUAAAGGCCUACCAAGGCGACGAUCCGUAACUGGUCUGAGAGGAUGAUCAGUCACACUGGAACUGAGACACGGUCCAGACUCCUACGGAAGGCAGCAGUGGGGAAUAUUGGACAAUGGGCGAAAGCCUGAUCCAGCCAUGCCGCGUGUGUGAAGAAGGUCUUCGGAUUGUAAAGCACUUUAAGUUGGGAGGAAGAGCAGUAAGUUAAUACCUUGCUGUUUUGACGUUACCAACAGAAUAAGCACCGGCUAACUUCGUG